This 3840-nucleotide ribosomal RNA is filed under the name Triticum aestivum (bread wheat). RNAcentral describes it as "partial small subunit ribosomal RNA". Lineage: Eukaryota; Viridiplantae; Streptophyta; Magnoliopsida; Poales; Poaceae. The record is from RNAcentral.
AUGGCGUCGGCCGCGCCGCAGCAGCUCGGCGGGCUCGGCGGCUCCGUCAACGGCUCCGCGGCCGCCACGCCGCUGCACGGCCCCGCGGCGCCCGCCGGCGCCAACGGCGCCGACGGGUACGACAGCGACGGCAGCUACAACUUCGCGCCGCCUACUCCAUCGACAUUGUCCAUGUCCAUACCCCCGGAGCUUGCUGGAGCAAUCCCGCUAAUCGACAGGUUCCAGGUGGAGGGAUUUCUCAAGGCAAUGCAAAAACAGAUUCAAUCAUCUGGAAAGCGUGGCUUUUUUAUUAAAAAAUCAGUGGGUCCGCAAGUUCGUGAGAAGUUCACUUUGGAAGAUAUGUUGUGUUUCCAAAAGGAUCCUAUUCCAACUUCAUUACUGAAAGUACCUAACGACCUUGUAAGCCGCUCAAUUAAAUUGUUCCAUGUCAUAUUAAAGUACAUGGGCGUCGAUUCACCCGCAAUAAUAAGUUUGGAAGAAAGAAUUGAACUUGUUGCAAAGCUUUAUAAGCAUACUUUGAAGCGGUCUGAACUUCGAGAUGAGCUCUUUGCGCAGAUUUCAAAACAAACACGUAACAAUCCUGAUCGGAGUUGGUUGAUAAGAGCUUGGGAGCUAAUGUAUUUAUGUGCAUCUUCCAUGCCACCAAGCAAAGAUAUCGGGGCAUACUUGUCUGAGUAUGUUCACUAUAUUGCUCAUGGAGCCACAACGGAUUCAGAUGUUCGAGUUCUAGCACUGAACACACUAAAUGCAUUAAAACGCUCGGUUAAGGCAGGCCCACGGGUUGCAAUUCCCGCGCGGGAGGAGAUAGAGGCUCUUUUAACCAGCCGGAAGCUUACAACAAUUGUCUUUUUCUUGGAUGAAACAUUUGAAGAGAUCACCUACGACAUGGCAACAACUGUUGCCGAUGCUGUUGAGGAACUUGCUGGCAUUAUCAAACUUUCAGUAUAUUCCAGUUUCAGUCUUUUUGAAUGCCGAAAGAUUGUUAAUGGAUCAAAGUCUUCAGAAGUUGGCAACGAGGAAUACAUUGGGCUAGACGAUAACAAGUACAUCGGGGACUUGCUAUCUGAAUUCAAGUCAGCCAAGGAUCGCAACAAAGGAGAAAUUUUGCACUGCAAACUUGUAUUUAAGAAACGCCUCUUUCGUGAGUCUGAUGAGGCUGUGACUGAUCCGAUGUUCGUUCAGCUAUCAUAUGUCCAGUUACAACAUGAUUAUAUUCUAGGCAACUACCCAGUAGGCAGGGAUGAUGCUGCACAACUCACUGCCCUGCAAAUAUUGGUUGAGAUUGGAUUCAUUGACAAUCCUGAGUCCUGCGUUGAAUGGAUAUCUCUUCUAGAGAGAUUUCUACCUAGGCAAGUUGCAAUUACUAGAGCAAAGCGAGACUGGGAGCUCGACAUCAUCUCACGCUAUCAGUUAAUGGAACACUUGUCAAAAGAUGAUGCAAGGAAUCAGUUUCUCAGAAUCUUAAGAACUCUUCCGUACGGCAAUUCAGUUUUCUUCAGCGUUCGGAAAAUUGAUGACCCAAUAGGACUUCUACCUGGAAGAAUCAUUUUGGGAAUCAACAAACGAGGGGUCCACUUUUUUCGUCCGGUUCCUAAGGAAUACCUACAUUCUGCAGAGCUGAGAGACAUAAUGCAGUUUGGGAGCAGCAAUACUGCUGUUUUCUUUAAGAUGCGAGUUGCUGGCGUCCUUCAUAUCUUUCAGUUUGAAACCAAGCAGGGUGAAGAAAUAUGUGUAGCACUUCAAACACAUAUAAAUGAUGUGAUGCUCCGCAGAUAUUCAAAAGCACGGUGUGGCUCUGCUACUAGCACGGUUUCUCAGAAUGAUGUUUCUCAAGCAGAUAAGCCACCAAAUGCUGAAAUGUAUGACAAACGUGUCCAAGAACUGUCAAAAGUAGUUGAUGAGUCUCAGAAGAAAGCAGACCAGUUACGGGAUGAGUUACAGAGGAAGACACAACAAGAAAGAGAGAUGCAAGAAGAAUUGGAAGGGCUAAAAGAUACCUUACAAUCUGAACGACAUAUCAUUAAAGAAGUAACAAGUGAGCGGGAUAGGCUGAAAUCCCUAUGUGAUGAAAAGGAAUCUUCUUUGCAGGUUGCAUUGGUGGAGAAAAAUAGACUGGAGACCAAAUUAACAAAUGGUCAGGGCCAAGAGAACAAUACCAAAAUGGACUUAUCUGGAAAUCAUUGUGAAAGAGAUACUUUGACGACCGUAGGCAGCGUCAACAGUGGCAUUGAGAUGUUGACUAAGCUCGAGGAGGAGUUGAAAUCAUGCCGAAAAGAGCUUGCUGCAUCAAAAGAAGUAUCAAAGAAGUUAAUUAUGGAAAGGAAUAUGCUCGAACAGAGGAUUCAAAGGCUUGAGAGAGCAAAAAGUGAAGAGAAAAGUACAAUGCAAAGAGUUUAUGAGGAUGAAUGUCGUAAGUUAAAAGCUCAUACAGCUACACUGGAGCAAAAAUUGGAAAGUGCAACACAGUCAUUAAAUGUUGCUGAAUCAACUCUCGCCUUGAGAAAUACCGAGGUGGAUUCAUUGCAAAAUACUCUCAAGGAGCUUGAUGAGUUAAGAGAGUUUAAAGCGGAUGUGGACAGAAAGAACCAACAGACCGCUGAGAUUCUUAAAAGGCAAGGGACACAGUUGGUUGAGCUUGAAAGUCUUUAUAAGCAAGAACAGGUUUUGCGAAAACGUUACUAUAACACAAUUGAAGAUAUGAAAGGAAAAAUAAGAGUUUUUUGUCGCUUGCGUCCUCUAAACGACAAGGAGGUUUCUUUAAAGGAUAAGAAUAUUGUCUGCAGUCCUGAUGAAUUUACAAUUGCACAUCCGUGGAAAGAUGACAAGUCAAAGCAACAUAUAUAUGAUCGUGUUUUUGAUGCACAUACUACUCAAGAAGAUGUUUUCGAGGACACUAAGUAUCUAGUACAAUCAGCUGUUGAUGGAUAUAAUGUUUGUAUAUUUGCUUAUGGUCAAACUGGUUCCGGGAAGACUUUUACAAUAUAUGGUUCAGACAACAAUCCUGGUCUUACUCCAAGGGCUACGUCAGAACUUUUUAGGGUGAUAAAGCGUGAUGGCAACAAGUAUUCAUUUUCCUUGAAGGCAUAUAUGGUGGAACUUUAUCAAGAUAAUCUUGUGGACCUGUUGUUGCCCAAAAAUGCUAUGCGACAAAAAUUAGAAAUAAAAAAGGAUUCCAAGGGAGUUGUUACUGUUGAAAAUGUCACAGUUGUAAACAUUUCAAGUUUUGAAGAAUUGAAAACUAUAAUCACAAGAGGUUCUGAGAGAAGACACACAGCUGGAACAAAUAUGAAUGAUGAGAGCUCAAGAUCUCAUUUAAUCCUUUCAAUAAUUAUUGAAAGCACCAAUCUCCAAACUCAAUCUUAUGCAAGAGGAAAGCUAAGUUUUGUGGAUCUUGCUGGUUCUGAGAGGGUGAAAAAGUCCGGUUCAGCAGGAAAACAAUUAAAAGAAGCACAGAGCAUCAAUAAAUCCCUUUCUGCAUUGGCUGAUGUUAUUGGUGCUUUAUCUUCUGAUGGACAACAUAUACCUUACCGGAACCAUAAGUUGACAAUGCUUAUGAGUGAUUCACUUGGAGGCAAUGCAAAAACCCUGAUGUUUGUGAAUGUUUCACCAGCGGAAUCAAACUUGGAGGAGACUCACAACUCACUCAUGUAUGCUUCACGAGUACGUUGCAUUGUUAAUGACACGAGCAAGCACGUUUCCCCCAAAGAAAUCAUGCGGUUGAAGAAGUUGAUUUCUUAUUGGAAGGAGCAAGCAGGCAAGCGGAGCGAGGGCGAUGAACUGGAGGAAAUACAGGAAGAGAGGAUAUCAAAAGAGAAAGCCGACACCCGGUUGACCGCAUGA